Long non-coding RNA from Cottoperca gobio, 1851 nucleotides. Lineage: Eukaryota; Metazoa; Chordata; Actinopteri; Perciformes; Bovichtidae. The record is from Ensembl.
AGAAGAGGAAUUUCAUGCAAAGGUUGUAACAACGAAAACAGCUGCAAGCACAAAAAAAGCCAGGAACAGAGAGGAAGGGACGUAGUCAGCCAACAAGCGAGUUAUGUGGCAAGAGAGUGGGAGGACGAUCCUGAAGCUGUCCGAUUAUUUUACCGAUCAGACAUCAAGCUAAGGUUGCCAACGGCUUUUAGCUUCGAUUUUCGCCUUAUAACGUUAGCUACCUGGAACGCGACAACGCAGCAGUCAACACGGCAGAGAUAACAAAAAGGCCAAACUCCCAGACGACAGCGACGCCUCAGAUCAAACUGCCAGGCUGUGUUUUAAUCCUCAGUCUACCUUUUUUUUGGUUAGGAGGAAGGAAGCAAAGAGAGGCAACAAACCGGAGAGUCGACAGAGAGAGCAGCCUGACCCAGUGGAAAUAGAAACACAGAGGAGGACAGAAAGAAAAGGCAGCGGAGUUACCUAUCCAGCCACCAAACUAAACAGAGGGAGGAAGGAGAGAGACAGAGAGUGAGACAGUGAGAUAAAUCCCAUCUUUCUAAGAAGGGAUUCUGGGUGGAAUGACCCUGUCAUGAUGCCACAGCCGUGCCACACCCCACGCCCAGGGGACCAAAGAGGGCGUUUCUGGCUAUCAGCCAAGCACAGAGGAUGCCCCAAUAGAGUUAUUUCUGAUUCCAGUUCAGAGACAUUUCCUCUCAAGACACUCUUGCAUCACUGACACUCCGCCCCUCUGGUAAAUUUUGCCUUGAGGUUUUAGCCGUCUUAAACUAACAAACAUAAUGCAACUGGUUGCAUGACCAAGUUGCUCGUAACUUCUAUAAAUCUAUCUAACCCUACGCUGUUGUAACUUUAAAUCAUAAACUGUAAUGUAUUCGUUGAUUGUAUUUUAUUUUUUCACCAACAAAAUUUGUCCUAUAUUUCUUGUCAGGUCAUAGCUUCUGUGCCCACCUGCUGCUUCCUCUAGAGUCCUUACUGUUUCCUGGUUACCUAUCUUGGGAUGUUGGCGUUGUUUUGUGGCAGCUGCCAUGGAGAUAAACAGAUUCCUUUAGUAGACCAUUUUAGACACAACCUCCAGAUGUUUUGCAAGAUGCAGGUUGUCCACACUGGCAGGAUUAGACAAGGACCGGCUCAGAGGUAAGAUGUUGAUCUCGACAUUGUCUCAUUAUAUUACUCAAUUAGACAGGAGACAGCAGUCUUUUGCAGUCACAAAAAAGAAAGCAGCAAAAAGGGAUUCAGCCCCCCAGCUUUAAUUGUUUUUUUAUCAUACGGUAUAGUCCUGCAUUUCUUCUGCGGUAAAAAUAGAAUGGGACACCUGGAUGAAGUGAGUGUCCUCAUCAGGCAUGUACCAGACGCGAGUGGUAUGAAUUGAUGCUUAUAAUGGUUAAUUAUUUAUUCCUUGAUGUCAUUCUAUGGCAGUGAGUCAGUACUGUAUGUAAAUAACUGUAAAAGAAAGGAACACCUUAUUACCGUAUUAGAUGUGUCAAUUCUAUUCAAAGAUGUAUAACAAAUGUCCAUAUGUAGUGCAACAAAAUUACAGAUAUUAAACGUUCUCACAUCAUUGUUGACAGCUUAGAAGGGCUGAAUGCCUUCAUGUACUUUUACAUUUUAUCAUGCUAUAUUAUGUUUUCUAUCACUCAUACAGUCUGCCAUUAUUAAUUGCUUUAUUGAAAACUGUCCUGAAUAGUUAUGCUGUAUUUUUUUUAUCCUAGGUGCUGUGGGGCUCAGCUUCCUAAUUCAUACUAUUUGACGACAUCACAGCAGGAAGUAUAGAACUUCCUAUUCCUGUGGAACAUCUUACUCUGCCUCUUGGCACUUGUGAGGACCUACUUGACCCUAUUGCAAGUUAGUCAA